Molecule: long non-coding RNA, 2418 nt
Filed under: Paramuricea clavata
Lineage: Eukaryota; Metazoa; Cnidaria; Anthozoa; Malacalcyonacea; Plexauridae
Source: RNAcentral
UUUUUAAAAGCGGAAAUGUCAAAUUUAUAUUUUGAAUUUUAUUAGAAUACACAGGAUAAAUCACAAGAAAUAGGCGCCCGAAGUUCGCCAAAACCUCUCUUUAGAUUUUAUUGAAAAUGGUGGACGUGAAGGAUUAUAACGUGGUCGUAUUGGGGUUGUCUUUUAUGUUCAUAUUUACGGCGUUUCAAACAACUUCUAUGAUAGAGGUAUAAACCUAGUUUAAUUCAUAAUUUCUUAUAAAACAUUGCGUAAAAUACGACGAAUUGCACUGUUUGCAGUAGUUUUUGUGCUGUUUGAUGUCAGUUUAUUCAUGUGGCCAAAAAUACAGAAUGAUUUUUUGGGUAUUAUCAAAUUAGUGUUAAUUAUUGUAAUUUUGAAAAUCACGAGUUAAUCACGAGACCAGAUCGUAAGGGGGUGAGGGGUUCAGUGUCCAUACUGCACUCGACCUUGAAAUGCAAAAAAUUUUACCUUCAAUCAAAACAUUUUUACAUCCUGUAAGGCAUGCCACAACCCACUUUUGUCUUUUGUAUGAUAUACAUACAACCAUGAACCAUCCAUGAAUCUGUGAUGCAUAUCAUACGUACAGGCAUACUUUUUAUUUGUGAGGACAUGACAGUCACCCCCUCACCCUAACCCAAACAUUCCAAGUUGUUCCGGUUUUCAGAUGAAAUAUGUGCUUCCAGAAAGUACAUCAUCUUGGCCAUAGAUGCAGUACUAUUUGAUUUACUUUGUAUAAUUUAGUCGGCAUGUACUAAAACCCGAAACAACCGGAAUGAAACCACCGGAACGAAACCACCGGAACGACCAGAACAAGAAUCUGAAAUGACCGGAACCACCGAAACCAAAAUCGAACACGAUCGGAACAAAGUAGUAGAACACUAAAUAACUAUCAUUCCGAUCGUGUUCGAUUUUGGUUUCGGUGGUUCCGGUCAUUUCCGACUCUUGUUCCAGUCGUUCCGGUGGUUUUGUUCCGGUGGUUUCGUUCCGGUGGUUUCGUUCCGGUUGUUUUGGGUUUUAGUACAUGCCAAUUUAGUCUAGCACAUCUAAAGUAUGGGAAACGACAAAACGCGGACCCCAGGUCCGUGGACUACCUUCGUGGACCUGGUCCGUUGACUACCUUCGUGGACCACUCUCAUGGACCACUUGCGAGACACCAGAUUUUUGGGGUUUGAAUUCUUGACUGUGCAUGCAAAAAUGUGCUCGAGUCGAGUUUAGUCAUUAUUAUCAUUGUGGAAACUUUACACAAAAUGUGAAGAACUUUCUAAAUCCAUUCACUACAUGACCGUUCUAAAAUAUAAGUGUGCAAUUACGACUUUAAUGCAAAGUUUCCGAAUAUAUGCCCUUAAAAUUGGUAGUUUUUUUUCUCGAUUGCUACAGGAAAUGCAAGAAAAGCAGUAAUCGAGCUUCAAAAAUUAAUAUUUUUGGGAGAGGACCUUCAGGCAUUGAAAGGUCAUUGCAUCUUACGACUUCUACAGUUCAAGUGAUUUUUUAACAGUAAAAUUCGAAUAAUUCAGUAAAAUCCUUUGACCCCCCCCCCUCCCCUCCAGAUUCUCCACAGUAUUCCUAUAUUUUUUAAUGGAACCCUGACUACAUCCAAUUUUUUCAGAAUUUUUACAGACUUAGUAUUUACUGUUCAUCAACAAAAACUGAAUUGAUUGUGUAAUAAAUAAUGGAAAUGAAUAAUGAAAUAGUUCCCGCCAUUCUCGGCUCCCUAAACUCGGAAUAAUAGUGCUUGGUCUAUUGUUCAGUAGGCGAAAUUUUGCAAGUGGUCCACGAGAGUGGUCCACGGGAGUGGUCCGUGGUCCACGAGUGUAGUCCAUGGACCAGGUCCACGAAGGUAGUCCAUGGACCUGGGGUCCGCGUUUUGUCGUUUCCCCUAAAGUAUUGCCAUUUAAAUUAAGUAUUACAACAUAUAUUGCUUUAUAUUUUCAACAGGAGAGCAUAUUAAAAAGUGCAAAAAAUGAAAGUGUACCUCAUAGUGCAUUUAAAGGCAAGUUGAAAUUACCAUGCAGUUUACUAGAUGUGUUGUGCAUUUUAAUGAAUUAAAUCAAAGUAGCCCUACAUUAAUUUUUAUUUUUUUGUUUCCAGCAAGUGGAUAUAACAGGUACUGUAAAUUUAUAUGUUGUUAAAUUUAAUAUCAUCAUGAACUAUUUCAUCAUGUUCCUCUAUUAUUUGAAAAUCUAGGUUCUCUCAAGCAGGACAACAAAUUUUGUUGCAUUCUGCAGCAUUAGAACAAUACGAAUAAUUGCUGAAGUUCUUAGUACUGUAUUUAUUGAUGUUGGCUGAAUUUCUUUUCCAUUCAUUUCAGCUUGUGUAUAAUUUAUGCCAGCUUUUCAUUAUUUAACUGGAUUGCUCCACCUAUUAUUGCUUUCAUUGGUUCCAAAUUUUCCAUGAUGCUUGCUGGAUUUUGUUAUUGGC